GAUGAAGAACGCAGUGAAAUGCGAUAAGUAAUGUGAAUUGCAGAAUUCAGUGAAUCAUCGAAUCUUUGAACGCACAUUGCGCCCGCCAGUAUUCUGGCGGGCAUGCCUGUUCGAGCGUCAUUUCAACCCUCAGGCCCCGCCUGGCGUUGGGGAUCGGCGCGGCCCUCUCCGGGCUGCCGACCCCGAAAACUAGUGGCGGUCUCGCUGUAGUCCUCCUCUGCGCAGUAGCAACGCUCGCACUGGAAGUCGGCGCGGCCACGCCGUAAAACACCCCACUUCUGAAAGUUGACCUCGGAUCAGGUAGGAAUACCCGCUGAACUUAAGCAUAUCAAUAAGCGGAGGA
This 343-nucleotide unclassified non-coding RNA is filed under the name soil metagenome. RNAcentral describes it as "partial contains 5.8S ribosomal RNA, internal transcribed spacer 2, and large subunit ribosomal RNA". The stretch from base 1 to 120 matches the Rfam family "5.8S ribosomal RNA", at positions 35 to 154 of the family's 154-position model. The record is from RNAcentral.